AGCCUCCUUGUGCUUACCACAGGCUGUGUUCCUACAUUGCAUAGAAAGAGGAGGCAGAAUAAACCUACCCUAUAUACACCUCAGCCUAGGCCACUGUGCCUGGUCUGAAUUGUGAAUAGGGAGACAUGG
Molecule: small nucleolar RNA, 129 nt
Organism: Mastomys coucha (southern multimammate mouse)
Lineage: Eukaryota; Metazoa; Chordata; Mammalia; Rodentia; Muridae
Product: small nucleolar RNA SNORA51
Exons: 1
Source: RefSeq, a predicted model, not a curated record